This 253-nucleotide ribosomal RNA is filed under the name uncultured bacterium. RNAcentral's name for it is "partial 16S ribosomal RNA". It matches the Rfam family "Bacterial small subunit ribosomal RNA", at positions 524 to 776 of the family's 1533-position model. The record is from RNAcentral.
GACGAACCGUGCGAACGUUGUUCGGAAUCACUGGGCUUAAAGGGCGCGUAGGCGGUCGACCAAGUCCGGGGUGAAAUCUUUCGGCUUAACCGGAAAAGUGCCUUGGAUACUGGCCGGCUGGAGGGAGGUAGGGGCAGGUGGAACUUCCAGUGGAGCGGUGAAAUGCGCAGAUAUCAGGAGGAACACCGAUGGCGAAGGCAGCUCGCUGGGACGGUACUGACGCUGAGGCGCGAAAGCGUGGGGAGCAAACAGG